This 2899-nucleotide long non-coding RNA is filed under the name Homo sapiens (human). RNAcentral describes it as "HSALNT0259231". Lineage: Eukaryota; Metazoa; Chordata; Mammalia; Primates; Hominidae. The record is from RNAcentral.
GAAAAAUUUCUUUCAACUGUCUAGAGCCUACAGUGUAAUUACUUUCUUCUCUACUUCCCCAACCGGUAUUACUAAAUAGGUACUAUCUCGCAUAAUGAUUAGGAUUUAAUAGUAAAUGCUUAUUAGUUAACCAGGCAGGUUUAACCACGUUAUUAUAGAAACUCUAAGAGGUUUCACACGUGUGAAUUAGAAAUUCUAAGCUGAGAAAGCUACUUAAAAUUGGUCAAGAAAAAGAUACACAUUAAGUAUAAGAAAGUUGGCAUGGCUAUAGUAGUAUCAGAUAAUAGGCCUCAAAACAGUGUAUAUGGCAGGAGAUAGGUAACAGUCAUAAAAGAGCAGGUCAUUAGGAAUUUGCAUAUACAUUUGUCACUACAGGGAUACAUUCUGAGAAAUGUGUUAUUAGGUGAUUGCAUCAUGCAAGCAUCAUAGAGCACACUAACACAAACAGCAAUGGGGUAGCCUACUACAUACCUAAGUUAUAUGGUAUAGCCUAUUGCUCCUAGGCUACAAACCUGUAUAGCAUAUUAUAUAGCAUAUAGCAUACCUGUAUUGAAUGCUGUAGGCAUUUAUAACACAGUGGUGUUUGUGUAUCUAAACAUAGCAAAGGUACAGUAAAAAUACUGUAUAAAAUAUUAAAAAAUGGCACACCGGUAUAAGAUACUUGCCAUGAAUGGAGCUUGUGGGACUGAAUUUCUGGGUGCAUCAGUGAGUGAGUUGUGAGAGAAUGCUAAGGACUAGGACAUUACUGUAUACUGCUGUAGACUUUACAAGCAGUACACUUAGGCUUCACUAAAUUUAUUUUUUUAAGUUUUCUUCAAUAAUAAAUUAACCUUAGCUUCCUGUAAUAUUUUUACAUUAUAAACUUACUAUUUUUUAUCUUUCUGAAUUGUAGUGACUCUUCACUUAAAACGCAAACACAUUAUAUAGCAACACAAAAAUAUUUCUGUCCUUAUUCUAUAGGCUUUUUUCUAUUUAAAAAUUUUUUUGUUUUAAAAAUGUUUGUUACUUUUUAAACUUUCUUGUUAAAAACAAACACACUUUAGCCUGGGCCUACACAGGGUCUAGAGUAUCAAUAUGUCUGUCUUUUACCGCCAUAUCUUGUCCAACUGGAAUGUCGUCUUCAGGAUUAAAAAUAUGCAUGGAGCUGUCAUCGCCUAUGAAAACAAUGCCUUCUUCUGGAUACCUCCUGAAGGACUUGCCUGAGGCUGUUUUACAGUUACUUUUUUUUUUUAAUAAGUAGAAGGAGUACAGUCUAAAAUAAUAAUACAAAUAGUACAAUAAAUUACAUAAACUAGUAAUGUAAUCACUUAUUAUUAUCACCUAUUACGUACUAUACAUAAUUGCAUGUGCUAUACUUUUAUACAACUGGAAGCACAGUAGGUUUAUUUACAGCAGCGUCACCACAAACACCUGAGUGAUAUGUUGCAUGACAACGUCCACAAGUGAUAGGAAUUUUUCAGCUCCAUUGUAAUCUUAUGGGACCACCAUUGUAUAUGUGUCCAUCAUUGAGUAAAAUGUUAUUACAUGACACAUGACUGUGUUCAUCAGGAAUAUGUAUGCUAGUAUGAACCUAUAAUGAGAGUGUUAAAUUUUAUGAAGCAAAAACUAACAGAACAAAAGAAAUAGAUCCACAAGCAUAAUUGGAAAUCCACAAUUAUAUCUCAGUAAUUGAUAGCACUUGUAGGCAAGAAAUUCAGUAGUAUAUGUAAUCAGCUCUUCAUAUAUGCAGAUUCAACCAAUAGCAAUGCACAAAUAUUCAGAAAAAACACAAUGACAGUAAAAAAAUACAAAUUUUAAAAUACAGUAUAAAAUUAUUUACAUAGCAUUUACAUUGUAUUAAGUAUUAUAAAAAAUCUAGAGAUGGUUUAAAAUAUACAGAAGGUUGUGCAUAGGUUAUAUGCAACUACUACACCAUUUUAUAUAACAAACUUGGGCAUCUGUAGGUUUUGGUAUCCACAAGGUGUCCUGGAACCAGUCCCCUGUGGAUAGCAAGGGACAACUGUAUAGAAGAUAUGAACCACACCAGUCAACAUGACCUAAUUGUUGUUUACAGAACACCAUACCCACAAUUGAAAAAUUACAUUCUUUUCAUGUACCUGAACAGUCCCCAUGAUAGACUAUUGGCUGGACCAUAAGUCACAAUAAACUUCAAAAGAUUGCCACAUUACAGGGAAUGUGCAUUAGAAACCAAUAAUAAGAAACCUAUACAGUCCUUCAAUACAUGGAAAUUAAAUAACACACUUCUAGAUCUACAGAUCAUUGAAUAAAUAAGGGGAAAAUGUUUUGAAAUAUGAAAAAGUGACAACAGCAUAUCAAAAUUGGAAGGAUACAGCUAAAGCAGAGUUGAGAGGAAUGUUAAGUACUUAAAUAAAAAAAGGAGAAAUUCAUAGCAGCAUUAUUCACAAUAACCAAGAAAUACGUACAACCCAGAUGUUCAUCAGUGGAUGAAUGGAUAAACAAAAUGUGGUAAUAUGAUUUGGAUAUUUGUUCCCUCAAAAUCUCACACGGACAUGUGACCCCCAGUGUUGGAGGUGGCGCCUAGUGGGAGGUGUUGGAUUAUGGGGUGGAUCUCAUGAAUGGCUUGGUGUCCUCCACAUGGAUAUGAGUUCAUCCUAUAGCUAGUUGUUUAAAAGAGCCUGGCACCUCCUCCCUCUCCCUUUUGUUCCCUCUUGCCAUGUGAUAUGCUAGCUCUCCCUUUGCCUUCUGCCAUAAUUGUAAGCUUCCUGAGGCCUCACCAGAAGCAGAUGCUGGCACUAUGCUUCUUGUACAGCCUAUAGAACCAUAAGCUAAAUAAACCAUUUUUCUUUAUAAAUUACCCAGCCUCAGGUAUUCCUUUAUAGCAACACAAAACAGACUAAUACAUGUGGCAUAUACAUACAAUGUAAUAUUAUUCAGCCUU